Molecule: ribosomal RNA, 403 nt
Filed under: uncultured bacterium
Lineage: Bacteria
Description: partial 16S ribosomal RNA
Rfam family: Bacterial small subunit ribosomal RNA
Source: RNAcentral
AUUGAACGCUGGCGGCAGGCCUAACACAUGCAAGUCGAGCGAGCGGCGGACAGGUGAGUAAUGUAUGGGGACUGCCCGAUAGCGGGGGAUAAAUACUGGCAACGGUAGCUAAUACCGCAUACUCCAGGAACACCCAUAUGGGAUGAGCUCGUAGAGGAGGUAAUGGAUCACCUAGGCGACGAGCCCUACCGGGUCUGAGAGGAUGAGCAGCCACACUGGGACGGAGACACGGCCCAGACUCCUACGGAGGAAGCAGUGGGGAAUAUUGCACAAUGGGCGCAAGCCUGAUGCAGCCAUGCCGCGGGUAUGAAGAAGGCCUUAGGGUUGUAAAGUACUUUCAGUCGGGAGGCGUUACCGACAGAAGAAGCACCGGCUAACUCCGUGCCAGCCGCCGCGGUAAUUC